Molecule: unclassified non-coding RNA, 375 nt
Filed under: soil metagenome
Description: partial contains 5.8S ribosomal RNA, internal transcribed spacer 2, and large subunit ribosomal RNA
Rfam family: 5.8S ribosomal RNA (bases 1-120)
Source: RNAcentral
GAUGAAGAACGUAGCGAAAUGCGAUAAGUAAUGUGAAUUGCAGAAUUCAGUGAAUCAUCGAAUCUUUGAACGCACAUUGCGCCCGCCAGUAUUCUGGCGGGCAUGCCUGUUCGAGCGUCAUUUCAACCCUCAAGACCCCUUCGGGGGACUUGGUGUUGGGGACCGGCACAGGGGCCUGCCUGCUUGUCUUGCAGCGCCCUCGCCGCCCCCGAAAUGAAUUGGCGGCCUCGUCGCGGCCUCCCCUGCGUAGUAGCACAAACCUCGCAACGAGAACGUGACGGCGGCCACUGCCGUAAAACAACCCAAUUUUAUUAGAGUUGACCUCGAAUCAGGUAGGAAUACCCGCUGAACUUAAGCAUAUCAAUAAGCGGAGGA